CCAUAGGCUUUCUUCAAGGCCAUGCAAUACUUCUUUGAAAGUAUUUU
Molecule: non-coding RNA, 47 nt
Organism: Rattus norvegicus (Norway rat)
Lineage: Eukaryota; Metazoa; Chordata; Mammalia; Rodentia; Muridae
Source: Rfam